AAACUUUCAACUACGGAUCUCUUGGUUCCGGCAUCGAUGAAGAACGCACCGAAAUGCGAUACGUAAUGUGAAUUGCAAAUUCAGUGAAUCAUCGAGUCUUUGAACGCACAUUGCGCCCCCUGGUAUUCCGGGGGGCAUGCCUGUCCGAGCGUCAUUG
Molecule: ribosomal RNA, 157 nt
Filed under: Penicillium commune
Lineage: Eukaryota; Fungi; Ascomycota; Eurotiomycetes; Eurotiales; Aspergillaceae
Description: 5.8S ribosomal RNA
Rfam family: 5.8S ribosomal RNA
About the family: 5.8S ribosomal RNA (5.8S rRNA) is a component of the large subunit of the eukaryotic ribosome.
Source: RNAcentral